AGUGCAGCAAUGCAUGGAGCUGACUGUUACUAAUCGGGUGAGGGCUUGACCAAAA
This 55-nucleotide ribosomal RNA is filed under the name Ruminococcus sp. AF25-28AC. RNAcentral describes it as "partial 23S ribosomal RNA". The record is from RNAcentral. RNAcentral also lists the same sequence under 1 other name. Lineage: Bacteria; Bacillati; Bacillota; Clostridia; Eubacteriales; Oscillospiraceae.